ACGUAGGUGGCAAGCGUUGUCCGGAAUUAUUGGGCGUAAAGCGCGCGCAGGUGGUUAUAUAAGUCUGAUUUUAAAGUUCGGGGCUCAACCCCGUGAUGGAUUGGAAACUGUAUGACUUGAGUACAGUAGAGGUAAGCGGAAUUCCCAGUGGAGCGGUGAAAGGCGUAGAUCUUGGGAGGAACACCAGAGGCGAGGGCGGCUUACUGGGCUGUAACUGACUCUGAGGCGCGAUAGCUAGGGGAGCACACGG
This 250-nucleotide ribosomal RNA is filed under the name uncultured prokaryote. RNAcentral describes it as "partial 16S rRNA". It matches the Rfam family "Bacterial small subunit ribosomal RNA", at positions 525 to 775 of the family's 1533-position model. The record is from RNAcentral.